This 800-nucleotide ribosomal RNA is filed under the name uncultured bacterium. RNAcentral's name for it is "bacterial SSU rRNA". It matches the Rfam family "Bacterial small subunit ribosomal RNA", at positions 8 to 800 of the family's 1533-position model. The record is from RNAcentral.
AGAGUUUGAUCCUGGCUCAGAAUGAACGCUGGCGGCGUGUUUAAGACAUGCAAGUCGAACGGAGUAACAUGAGUAGCAAUACAAGUGUUGCUCAGUGGCGCACGGGUGCGUAACACGUGAGUUACAUGCCCUGCAGAGAGGGAUAGCCCAGGGAAACUUGGAUUAAUACCUCAUGGUCUCGCAAGAGUAAAGAUGGCCGUAAGGCUGUCGCUGCAGGAUUGGCUCGCGGCCUAUCAGCUAGUUGGUGAGGUAACGGCUCACCAAGGCUACGACGGGUACCUGGUCUGAGAGGACGAUCAGGCACACUGGAACUGAGACACGGUCCAGACACCUACGGGUGGCAGCAGUCGAGAAUCAUUCACAAUGGGGGCAACCCUGAUGGUGCAACGCCGCGUGGAGGAAGAAGGUCUUCGGAUUGUAAACUCCUGUCAUCUAGGAGCAAGGCAUGGUGGUGAAUAGCCAACAUGAUUGAUAGUACUAGAAGAGGAAGGGACGGCUAACUUCGUGCCAGCAGCCGCGGUAAUGCGAAGGUCCCGAGCGUUAUUCGGAAUCACUGGGCGUAAAGGGAGCGUAGGCGGCGUGGAAAGUCAGAUGUGAAAUCCCAGAGCUUAACUCUGGAACUGCAUCCGAUACUACCAUGCUAGAGUAUUGGAGGGGUAACUGGAAUUCUCGGUGUAGCAGUGAAAUGCGUAGAUAUCGAGAGGAACACUCGUGGCGAAAGCGAGUUACUGGACAAUUACUGACGCUGAGGCUCGAAAGCUAGGGGAGCAAAAGGGAUUAGAUACCCCUGUAGUCCUAGC